Molecule: long non-coding RNA, 300 nt
Filed under: Nicotiana benthamiana
Lineage: Eukaryota; Viridiplantae; Streptophyta; Magnoliopsida; Solanales; Solanaceae
Description: long non-coding RNA (NBEN_LNC009894)
Source: RNAcentral
CCAUUCCCUAUCCGCAAUGUGCUGAGCUCUAAUUUGGGUUUGUUAAUGUCCUGAUCAUCAUUCAGGCUUGAGUUUGACUCUUUAAGAGUCUGCUCUUAUUUGUCUAAAUCUGAGUGGGAGGUUAGGGGUGUGCCAGUCUAUUCCAUGACUGGGUAUGACCACCUCAUGCUGAGGUUUCUCUCUCACUUUACACCUAUUCCUAGCUCUUAAGUUCUACCCCCUAUGGUAUGCCAUGCUUAGGGACCUUAGAGUUCCCUCUGAACUUGGAUGCCUAAGGGUUGUUAAUUCCACACAUUGCAC